ACAUGUCAAAAAGUGAGUAACAUUAUAUUUGGCAAGUGAGUCAAUUUUCACUCACUUCUCAGAGAUUUAGGCUUUACUCACUUUUGCGUUAUUGUUUUCAAACCGUCAAACAGUUAGCAAAAUAUCCGUGAAAAAUGUUUUCGUAUUUUUAUAAAGUUUUUUAGUUUUUGUUAUAAAUUUGAUGUGGAUAGCAGAGCUGCAGCAGGAGGUGAUCUGGCUAGGCAUGGCCCCCAAGGAUUCUCGCAGAACUGGCAGUUCCGCAGCACGAUCGAUUCGGAGGAGUUGUUGGUAAAAUGUUCGGCAACAGAGGUUUCAAUGCCGGAUUCGAUGAUUUUUCCGAUUGGCGAUAUGGUGUUGAUUGUGCCCAGAAAUUCAUGAUGUACUUGUCCUUUGCAAAAGGGGUCGCGGUGUCAACAAACGUGGUGGAUAUAUGCCCCAAAUGUACCGCAUCAUGAUGCGAUCAAAGCACCAAGACCGGCAUGUGCCAGUACUGCGACGGAUUCGGAAUGAUCUAUCGGACCGCUUAUGAUGCGGUUCCAUAUGUCGGUAUUGUAUAAGGAUACGCGAAUGUACAUUCAAUAUUCAUGCCUGAAUUGCGCCUGCAACGUGCAGAUGGUUCAGCAGAAGCGGGUAACCAUCACAGUGCCGGCCGGCGUUGAUGAUGGUGCGAAACAAGGAGCUGUUCAUUACAUUCAACGUAUGGAAGUGUCGCUCCUUCCACCGACACGGUUCCGAUGUGCUCACCGACGGGUGCAGGGGGUCUACGAAGAUCAGGAUAGGUGGUGCCGGACACUGGCACAUCUUAACAUAUCCGCGGUUGUCUCUGUGGCAAGGGUCUUAAACGGGCCAACAGCUAUGGCACCGGUGACUAUUAAAUCCAGAUCCCGAUCAAGCUAAACAAGCAGAAAGCACUGAUACAGGCGUACGGAAUAGAAGUCCUCUGGAUCAGAUUCAUCUAGUUUUUCAUCAAAUUUCACAUCACCGUAACUCUCCAGGUCUGCAUCGUGCCCAUUGAAAUCAUCAUUUCGUUUCUCAGCCAGGACAAGUUUGCUUGGUCAAGUUGGUCUUCGUAUGGUACGUGUAUUACAGCUACCAGCAAAUUCCACACCAGCUGGAACUGGAACGAAAUGCAUCGCUGAAGAGGCAUCGACAAGCAGCUCAAAUUUAUCGACCUCAGAAGAACCAUUUCGACGACGCUUUAACUUUAAAUGUUUGUGGCCACUGAAAAUUGAUAUUAUGUACAACCUAUUACAACUAUGUUUACAACUAGAGGAAUGAUAACUAAUGUGUUAAUUAGUCUAGGAACACUAGGAAUUGUUGUUAAGUGGUUAGUUAUAUCUAGAGUGCUUUGAAAAUAGGUCGUAUGUGCAAAAGAGAGUCUCUCUUUGGAUCUAUUCUCUUUCGAUUAUUACGAAACUAUACAAAAGUUUACUUCGAAUUUCUUGUUAGAUAUCCAAAGACAAUAGCUUUGUUUAUCAUGCUGAAGUGGAAAUGUAGCAAAACAUGCAAAACUAGCCGAUAUAUUAGCGAAAGAGAGCGUGACCAAAGAGAAUAUCUCGUUUGCACAUACGACCUAUUCUCAAAGCAAUCUAG
Armigeres subalbatus is the source of this 1593-nucleotide long non-coding RNA. RefSeq lists it as uncharacterized. The record is from RefSeq and is a predicted model, not a curated record. The transcript is spliced from 3 exons. Lineage: Eukaryota; Metazoa; Arthropoda; Insecta; Diptera; Culicidae.